RNAcentral lists this ribosomal RNA (460 nucleotides) under uncultured bacterium. RNAcentral's name for it is "partial 16S ribosomal RNA". It matches the Rfam family "Bacterial small subunit ribosomal RNA", at positions 338 to 795 of the family's 1533-position model. The record is from RNAcentral.
CCUACGGGAGGCUGCAGUGAGGAAUAUUGGUCAAUGGACGAGAGUCUGAACCAGCCAAGUAGCGUGAAGGAUGACUGCCCUAUGGGUUGUAAACUUCUUUUAUAUGGGAAUAAAAUGUUCCACGUGUGGGAUUUUGUAUGUACCAUAUGAAUAAGGAUCGGCUAACUCCGUGCCAGCAGCCGCGGUAAUACGGAGGAUCCGAGCGUUAUCCGGAUUUAUUGGGUUUAAAGGGAGCGUAGGUGGAUUGUUAAGUCAGUUGUGAAAGUUUGCGGCUCAACCGUAAAAUUGCAGUUGAAACUGGCAGUCGUGAGUACAGUAGAGGUAGGCGGAAUUCGUGGUGUAGCGGUGAAAUGCUUAGAUAUCACGAAGAACUCCGAUUGCGAAGGCAGCUCACUGGACUGCAACUGACACUGAGGCUCGAAAGUGUGGGUAUCAAACAGGAUUAGAUACCCCGGUAGUC